GAUGAACGCUGGCGGCGUGCCUAAUACAUGCAAGUCGAGCGAACAGACGAGGAGCUUGCGCCUCUGACGUUAGCGGCGGACGGGUGAGUAACACGUGGAUAACCUACCUAUAAGACGGGGAUAACUGCGGGAAACCGGAGCUAAUACCGGAUAAUAUAAUGAACCGCAUGGUUCAAUAGUGAAAGACGGUUUUGCUGUCACUUAUAGAUGGAUCCGCGCCGCAUUAGCUAGUUGGUAAGGUAACGGCUUACCAAGGCAACGAUGCGUAGCCGACCUGAGAGGGUGAUCGGCCACACUGGAACUGAGACACGGUCCAGACUCCUACGGGAGGCAGCAGUAGGGAAUCUUCCGCAAUGGGCGAAAGCCUGACGGAGCAACGCCGCGUGAGUGAUGAAGGUCUUCGGAUCGUAAAACUCUGCUAUUAGGGAAGAACAACUGUGUAAGUAACUAUGCACGUCUUGACGGUACCUAAUCAGAAAGCCACGGCUAACUACGUG
RNAcentral lists this ribosomal RNA (497 nucleotides) under uncultured bacterium. Its description in RNAcentral is "partial 16S ribosomal RNA". It matches the Rfam family "Bacterial small subunit ribosomal RNA", at positions 28 to 507 of the family's 1533-position model. The record is from RNAcentral.